CACGGGAGGCGCUUGACGAAUC
Molecule: microRNA, 22 nt
Filed under: Ornithorhynchus anatinus (platypus)
Lineage: Eukaryota; Metazoa; Chordata; Mammalia; Monotremata; Ornithorhynchidae
Description: Oan-Novel-13_3p (mature (guide))
Source: RNAcentral